GACCAGCCAUGCCGCGGUGCAGCGAUGACGGCCCUAGGGGUUNGUAAACUCCUUUUGUAUGGAAAAAAACCCCUGAUCGUGAUCAGGGCUGACGGGUACUGUUCGAAUCAGCAUCGGCUAACUCCAUUGCCAGCAGCCGCGGUAAUAAAAUAA
Molecule: ribosomal RNA, 153 nt
Filed under: uncultured bacterium
Lineage: Bacteria
Description: partial 16S ribosomal RNA
Source: RNAcentral